CAGAAUCCAGGACUGCAAACACAGAGGCACAGAGUCCAUAAUGAAGGUCAUCAGGAGGUUUUAGGAUUUAUUUGGCAUUCUUGUGCCAGGUACUGAAAUACAAUAGCACAUGUGGAAGGAGCGUGGUUGGGGUCCUGACCAGGGCAAGGCUCAGUGGCCACUGAUGCUCGAGCUUGCCUCACAGCUUAAUGUCGUGAUUAGGAUUGGCCUCAGGACCAGUUUGGAGAUGCUAGAGCUGGGCAGUCAUGCUCCCAUUUCACAGGAGAUGGGGGCAGGGUUGACACGUCUGUGCUUUCUCAAGGUCACGUUGUGGAUGCUGUAAAAUCAGGUUCUGGGUGAGACCAUCUUUGGCCCUGGAAAGACUGAGACCUGCCCAUGGACAGGGCCCCACGUGGCCACUGGGGACUGUUGGUUCCUACCCCACCGUCCCUCUGCUGGGUUCCCCACCCCGAAGACGUGGGCUCGGCCCCUCAGCAUCACGCCCAGGUAUUCAACCAACCUUGGACCCACUUGGGGCCUCUGAGCAUGAGCUGGGUGCCGGACUGUACCUGGGCUAGGCCAGGGUUAACUACCUACAGUGGCAGCCUGAUUCGUCCCAGAGGGGCUUGCUCAGCAGGCUGGAGCUCUGUCCAGGCAAGAGAGUUCUGGAGGCCGGAGGCUGGAAGCUCAAGAUCCAGGACACACUCUGAUGGUGCCGUCCAGCUGCAUCCUCACAUGACAGAAGGGGUGAGGGAGCCUGCUGGUGUCCCUUUUCCAAGACCACUCAUCCUCAUCCCACUCCCAAGGGCUCCACCCUCAGGACUGAGUCACCUUCCAAAGGCCCCGCUUCCUACACCAGCACCUGAGGGGCCAUGGCUGCCCCUGUGAAUUUUGGGAGGGCCACAGACAUUCAGAUCACAGCAGGUACGAGCUAUCCACAUGACUGAUGGCUGAUGGAUGUUGACCUUGGUCCUCGGCCUGAGGGCAUGUUUGUUGUGUUGUUUCUGCCUGUAAGCCCCAACCCCAUUCCCAUUCUAUAUUCCUUGGAAUGAAAUCAUUAUGUACACCCCACACUUGAGGAAAUGGGUUAUGCUCUAUUUCCUUGAGGCAGCGUAUCUAUGCAAAUUAUCUAGAAUUUGGGGGCAUGGGAGCUUUGCCUAUUGUUCCUCAUUGAUUCCACAGUUUAUUUGUAUGGAUGUGGACUCGCGCAUAUUGAUUUUGUACUUUGGGUUGUAAUCCACUGUGACAUUAUUUAUUACACUUUGCUCAAACGGUUCCACUUUGGCCACAGAGAGCUUUCCCUUGGCCUCUGUGUCCCUGCGACACACCCUGUCUUCGGGUUUUGUUGGAGCACUUGCUUACUUUCUGGCACAAUGAGAUGCUCCAGCCUCAUCUUGUCUAUUUCCUGCCCCAGCUCUAGUGGGAGCAUUUCUCCCCAGGAGCCAUUUCUUCCAGGAGCCCCGGAUCUUUUAAGUGGAGAAUGGCAGAAACCAAAAUCAAGGCACUAGGUGUGCUCACUGCUACUGUGGUGUCAUUGCUUCUAGGCCCUCUCAGCUGACAGAGCAAGGAAAUAGCCGUGUAUCAAAGAAGUCAUGUAUAUAUACAUGUAAACAUCUCUAUGUGUAUCCAUCUCUAUUUGUAUUAAACUAGACAUGAGUUCAUACUGAUGUCUCCUCCACUAACCCACAUGAAUCUUCUAGCCUCUUCCUCUUGCUUCUCUGUGAACUCCCUCUCUAGCACUGAGAAAAAGUGCUACCCACUUUUUCUGGGUGCUACUUUGGGUGCUACCCACCACCCACCCUCCACUCACUUAGCUGUGCAAUGCCAGAAUACACAAAUAGGGGCUUCAUAUUGGUUAAGCCACACCCCUGUGAGAGGCAACUUUUCAACUGGAGAACAGUGCUCACGUGCAGUUCCUUUUCACUGACUUCUUUCACUUAGCAAUACGCGUGUAGGAUUUACGCAUGCCUUGGCAUGGCUUGAUAACUAUUCCUUUUAUUGCUGAAUCGUAUUCCAUUGCAUGGAAGUAUUCGUUUCUUUAUCCACUCACUUAUUAAAGGACAUCUUGGUUGCUUCCUGUUUUGGGUGAGCAUAAAUAAAGCUGCUACCAAC
RNAcentral lists this long non-coding RNA (2091 nucleotides) under Macaca mulatta (Rhesus monkey). RNAcentral describes it as "lncRNA (ENSMMUG00000053837.1)". The record is from RNAcentral. Lineage: Eukaryota; Metazoa; Chordata; Mammalia; Primates; Cercopithecidae.